UUAAACUGUUAGAAGAUAUUAAGUGGCCAGAUUAAGUAAAAAUACUGCCCUGGAGGCCUGCUAUGUAAGUUAUUACUAUCCCAUCUCUGAUGGUAUUCUAGGAAUGGAUGAACAAAGGAAUAACUUUUUUCGUGAACUGGCACGAUUGACAUCCAUAAUCUUAGAGCAACUGCUAUACAUUUUCUCUAUUUUGUGUGUGUACAUCUAGUGUUGGUGAACUUCAGUGGUGUUUGCUGGGAGCUUUAUUUACCAAAAGGAAUGAAUGUCUUAUGUUAGCUAGAUCCACAAUAGGAGCAUCUCCAGAAAAAAUGGAGUGCAGGAGAGUAUUUAUUCUAGUGAUUAUCAUCCACUUGCACUUGUUGCAAUUAGCAGUGUAUCCAGAGUGGCUGUGGGAUGCCUGGCUGGAGCAUCUAUAAUUUUUAUUGGAUCCCUCAGCUAUUGCAACGAGAGUAGAGUCUUAACCAACAUAGUCAAGAGAACAGAGUUACAAGACAAGAAGGAAGACUUGACUGUUCUGGUGAAAGGAGUGCUAUCAGACCACCGAUGUGAUGGACCUUCUCUGGUAGAGGUUUGGGGAGAACUGCAGGAGGCUGGCACAUGAUUUGUUGCAUGGUACUGCUAUCCUGAAUCUGUGACCCCUGGUUUGUGUUUUCUGCAAAACUUCAAAAGGGAGUGUAUUAAGUGGCAAUAAAUUUAAUACAAUGCUUCCUGCUUUGAAGCUACGAUGAGCCUGUUGUAGAACUUCAUUUUGCUUGGGAACUGAUGCAGCAGGCUGUAUACCCCACAGUAAAAUGGAAGCAGCUAGAGUAGAAAAACUGAUCGUAACAGUGACAAAGCAAAUGGCAAAGAAGCCAUUCAAGGUACCAGAAGGAAGCUUUCUUUAUCUAGGAUGAUUGAAAACUGUGACUAAAAUGUUCCUGCCUGUCAUUCCACAAGAUUAAAUUCUCUGAUCCACCAUUCUUUUUUCUUUUUUCUACUAGGUUAUCUUAUCUGUGGCACAGCUAUCACUUUGACAGGUUAAUUGUGUGUGUCUCUUGACCUCAUUAAUGAUAGCCCUCCGUUGGCCCACUCUUCCUUGCUUUGACCAGGUGGCCAUAUGGCUUCAUUUUAACUUCCUCUAGUGAAAUAUUUCAAGUGAACAUUCUUCUCCUAGGCAAGAAAAACUUCCUGUACAAUGAAUCUCAUUGUAGAUCUCUAGUUGUGACUUGAGGCUCCUACUUUCCUCCUCCCAGUUUCCUUUUUGCAAAACUACUUAACGCCAUCUAUGGGGUUUGCUGUCAUCUUUCAUUGAAUGUUUAUCUCCUCACUCAUAGGUUUUGUGACGUAAAACUUGGUGAGAUCUUACCAUGAUGUUAUAACUUCUUUUCUGCAGUUCAUCAAAGUACAGUAGCAGGUACUAGGCACGGUGAGGGAACUAGGAGUUUAUUUUGUCAUAAAGAAAAGAUGGCUUGUCAGAACUGAGAAUAUACCAGUAAUGGUUCACUUAAACCUUCUGACAUAAUUCUGUCCAUUAAAUGGUUGAAAUUUAAAUCUCAAAUAGUAAUCCAUUUUGCCAAAGCAAACUUGUCAAGGAAAAUGUGACUUUUAGCACAGAAAAGAAAAAUAAAUGCCAAAUCCAAAUUUCUUAGAUUUGGUUGGCAUAAGCUUAUUUCAUAUGUGACCUUAGAGAUGCUGCUUGAGGGAUUUGUUGUUCCAGAGAACAUAUGGAAGGUAGUGUUUAUGAUUGGUAUUGGCCUUGUAAUUGAGUAACAUAUCAUUUCUCCUUUCUUCAUCAAGGUGGUAACUAAUUUUUGCUAUCAGGAGUGCUCUCGUGUCUCCAUUGUGUCUGAUCUUCUGUCCUUUGUGAUUUGAGCAGAAUUAGAAUUUUCUCAAGAUAAUUUUUCUGAAGUUGUUGGUUGACUGCGUUACUGAUGGUAGAAUGAAAUUGUACUUAGAUAUCAAACUGUUCUACUGCACAAAUACCUGAGUUAACUGUAAAAAGGAGUGGGAACUUUGUUGCGUUGGUUUUACAUUCUGUGUAUGUUAACUUGUUUUGUAGUUGGCUUGCUUAUUUGGCACAAGUGUAGAAGUUGCUGUACAUAUGCACAAAACUCCAAUGAAGGGACACUGACACAAGGUUAUAAACUGGAAAAUAGUUCAAUAUGAUUAUGGAGUCUCUAUUACUCAUUCUUGAUGGUAUUUAAAUGUGAAACUGAAAGGCAGUGCUGAAAGAAAUCUGUGUACAGAGAUUUGUUUAUUUCUUGACCAGAAUUUCUUUAACAAAGUAGUGAAACAGUUUCAGUGGUACAGUAUCAUCACGUCAGAUUACACAAAUGAAAGUCUGGGACACAAACGGUGAAGUUCAGAAUUUCACCAGGCAGAUCUCCAUUACUGUAGUGCACUUUUGUGAAAUAUUUACUACUGUAAUACAAUCAUUAUCCUCAGAUAAUAUUUCAGUAGUAAAUGUUCUACUCGUGUGUUGGUCUUUUUAAAUGUUUAUUUUAUAUAGGUGGAAUGGAAGGUAAAUAUCAAGUUUCGUGGAGAAAAGUACAAUGGGGAAAAAAAAAACCUUUCCCUGGAUUUUCACCUAAUGAUAGAAGAAGCUUCACAUAGUCAAAAAGUUGUAUAUUUUGGAGGUUUAGCCUUGUAACAUUGGUUUUUGUCAUCUUAACUGCAUAAUCCAAAGAUUUCUAUUGUCACCACUUCACAGGUGCCUCCAUUAGACCACAUCCUUGCCUGUGUCUGGAAUUUCUUUUUUCUUUUGAAAGUCUCAGGUCUGCAGUUCACUUUUUGACAAGUUCUAUGAAAUGUUGGAAAGUGUUUAUUAUAUAUUUUUUUCAUUCAUCACGUAUGUUAAAAUAUUGCAGAUUAACUAUAUUUGUUCCUUUUUUGUUGUUUUGUUUUUUUUAAUGCGAGUUAGAUGGAAGCUUGCUAUAUGGAAAUAACAGCUCCCAUCUGUUUUGGAAUAAAUUAGUUGUCAUAGUGUCUUUACAAGGUGAACACUUGUCAUAGACAUCCUUCUGUUUCUGACUUGAUUAUAUUUCUGACUUGACCACUUCGGUUUUCAGAGAACUUGAAAAUUGCUGAAGAAUGACCUUACAGACUCCAUUAUUAAUCUCACGUACAUAAAGGAAUGGUUUUCAAAGAAAACAUUCAGAACUCUGCUCAUAAUGAACUGAGGCAAGGAAAGUAUGUGUUCUGCUUUGUUUUCUUUCUCUUUUGAUUUGUAUUUUGAUAGAAAUGGAUAACAUUUUGCAGAAGCAGUUGAGCCAGGUUGUACCAAAUGAAAUACUAAAAUACUUGCAUUCAGGACUAUACGCAUAUGUUCUUUUCUUCUAGGCCCAUUGGAAGUCUGCUUUUAGUAUAGUAUUUGUGAAUUGGAUCUACUCUUAUUCCUUUACGAGAAUAGUAUCUGAGAAGUGUGGUAGUUGCUAGGAAUGUGGGAGACCACAGAUGCCCAACAGCUGCUGUUGAAAGGAUCACAACACCAAGCAGAAAUAAGCUUCAAUGCAAAUGAUCUCUUAUCUCACAGCACUGUCUCAGUGAGCCCAGGAAAAAAAAACUCAGCUUGGCUACCAGCAAGUGGGUGUGACGGGAUAAGUACUCAAGUAGAAUUAUUUAAAAAAAAAAAAGUCCAAACUUUUUUGGCAGCUUGGACGAGUAGAAAAGUCUGGCUAGACAGGAAGGGUACUCUUUUUAACCCUUUAAAGUGCCCCUUAAUUAUUGACAGUGACCCUAAGUGAACUAAUUCUGAUCUACAGAGAGAUUUAUUUCUCUAAUCUCUUUAAGAUCUGUUUCUGUUUUCAGAAUAGGAAAACUACAGCUGACUUAACCUUCAUUUCUGCUUUGCACCUUUUGCCACCUGCUGCCACUCGGUCUAAAAAUAUUACAAUUUCUUUGCCCACAACCCACUAUUUUGUGAACUAGUUAUGUUGAGGGGAAAAAAUUAAGAUAAAUCUUACAAGUCCCUCAGACUUUUACUCUGAUCAUUUGAGAAUAAAAAAUAGCAAGAUACAUUGGCUUUUAGGGAGAUAAGCUGACAAAAGUACAUUACAUUAAAUUGUAAGGCAAUAAAUUAAGAUACAUGAUCAAGCAGCAUGGAGUCAAAUACAGUUCAAUGUUGGUAUGUAUAAACUGGUAAUCACUAAGGAAAAAACACUUGAUUAACUCCUCAUUGGUGCCUGAUUUUGAAUUAGCUGGGUGCACUACAGACAUUUUCUUUUGUUUCACGCCACUAACUUUAUCCUUGCAUACAAUUAGCAAAAACUUCUGUUUAAUGUUGAUCAGCAUACAAAACAAAUAAAUGUUGGUGUGUACGAGAAGCAAGUCCUAAAAAGUAAUGCUAAAAUGUAAUUCUACUGUAGUAAUGAGUGAUGUGCCACUCCAGUUUUAUGUGUAACAUAUUCUGAUUGUAAUGCUUUCACAAGGAUACAGCUAAAAUGGAGGAGACUUUCAGACUGGUGCAAUAGAAUUUGAAACAUGGGAAAAGGAAGAAAAUAAUAAUAGUUUCAUUUUCAAAAUUGCAUCUCCAGAAGUGUACAUGGGCAGAAGUAUAUAAAGAGUACAUGGACUGAAUAAAACGCUCAUAUAUGUCUGGCUUUCCUAAAGAUAUGAUGAUAACAGGACAUUGGGACAAUUGAAAGGCAAUAAACUAACAAUUAUUUUUUUUUUUCUAAUUCAGUGUAGUUUUAAUGUAUGGAGUGAACAUACUGUCAUAAAUUAUCAUUUGGGGCAGAAGCUUGUUAGAUUGAAGAAUUAAAUCAGUAUAUACAGCUGCCAAGAACGCCUACAGCUUCAUUAGACACAAUUAAACAGAAAUUGUUGGGACAUAUACAUUUUCAUACUUCACUGCAUCAAAAGCCCAGGAAAUGACAGAGGUUAAGAAUGAAUAAUUUUCAUGUUACUCUCAUGUAAGAUCUCAGCAUUUUUUGUUUCUGGAAUCUUUGAAUGUAUGUAAGGGAGAGAGCAGUUGAGUUGCUUUAAAUGAGAACAUUGAACUGUGUAAGCUUUAAAGCUGUAUUUCUAAUGAACAUCAGCACAUAAUUUUGCAUAAUGCAGGGAUAAAAUUUGCCAUGAGAAUUUCAUGAACAGACUUCGUGAUUUCUUUUGUGUUUUUGAAGGAAAGGCAUGGGGCUUUUGUAGCUUGAUCUAGAGAUACCUGAGUGGUGCAACUCUUCUAGCUUCUGGUAGGAAGGAGGUAAGAGAGGAAAAAGUCAACAAAAGGAGGUUUUUCUGCAUGCCUUCAUUCUGUCUACUUGUACUUUUUUUUAUGAUUAUUAUUACUACUUACGUUUCUUCUGUUGGUAGGGAAAUAAUUACGCCCUGUUCUUAGCAAGAAACUGAACAGUUAAGAGCUUGGCUUACAGGGUAGUUAUAAUAACUACCCUGAGCCCAUACUAUAAGGCACACCAUGACUGGGGAAACAGAAAGCCACAUAGAAUCCUCUUGGCUUGAGGGUACUUCUGUACUGGGCUUACAUGGCAAGCUUUUGAUAGCAGAGGGGCUGCAGGGGUGGCCUCUAUGAGCACAGUCCAACACUGCCCUAUGUCAGACCAAAGCCAACUGCCCCUGUUCCAAAAGAGACCCACUGCUGGCCAGAGCUGAGGCAUGAGUUCCCUGUAGCCCUUGGAGGAGCAUUCUGUGCAGCAGUGGAUGUGGCUAAAAGGAGACUGCAGGCCAUGGAGAGCCCCCACAGGAACAGUCUUGGGCCAGAGCUGCAGCCUGUGAGGAUAGGCCCUUGGUGGGACAGGAGAGGAGUUGUCGCUUGUGAGUACCCUUGCUGGAGUGGUUCCUGCAGGAUGGGCUCUGUGAUGUGGCCGUGUGUUGGAGCAGCGCUUGAGGAGCUGCAGCCUAUGGGAAGCCCAUGUUGGGAUCAGUUUUGAAAGGAUAUCCCAUGGAAGGGGACCCCCCCAUGGAGCAGAGGCAGAGAGUGACCAUGAAGGAGCAGCAAAGGUGAAGCAUUGUGGACUGACCGCAGCCCCCGUUCCCUUGUACUGCUGGAGGGGAGAAGGUAGAAGAGGGUAAAUGGGGAAAAGAUGGUUUUAGUUUGCUUUUAGUUUUCAGUGCUCUAGUCUGUUAUCAAUAGGUAAUAAAUUAUAUUAAUCUCCUUUAUGUUGAGUCUCCUUUGCCCAUGACAGUAAUUGGUGAGUGAAUUCCCAGUCCUUAUCGCAACCCACAAGGUUGUUGUUUGUUUUUUUUUUUUUAUCAUAUUUUCUCUCCCUGCCUUUUUGAGGAAGAGAAGUGAAAAAACAACAUGUUGGAGCUUAGCUAUCUACUGAUGUGAAAUCACCACAGCUUCUCAGGUGAACAAGUAAGUUGACUUGAUAUUUGCUCUAUUUUCUUGAAAUAUUUUUCUUUGGAUUAUCUGUCCUUGUCUUAUUGUUAAUGGAAUGUGUCUUAGGGUUGCUUCUUCAGCUUCCAUUUAUACAGUUGCAUUUUGAUUUGAAGUAAGUAUUAAUGUCACGUAAAUCAAGAAGAAUAGAUUGAGUCUGGCUGCAGUAUUUGCAUUAUUGUUACAGAAACUUUAUAUCAAGUUGGCUUGGUUUUGUCAGACGCCAGUAGACUGGGGGUGAUGUCAUCAGAGCUGUCAUUGUUUUAUCUGGAAGGUGUCAAUGAAACUGAACUUUCCCACAGUGCUAAUUUAUCUCUGAAUAGAGAUGUAGUUUUGGUGAUAGAAUAUAAGCUCGUGUGUAAGAACUGGCAGAAUUAAAUUCAUUUUAGAUGUUGUUUUCUCUCAGACUGUUUUAAAAACAAAUGCUUUUUCAUGCUGUCUCUUUAAGAAGGAGAGGAUGAGGAGGUGGAUGUGAGUUCAGUGCCCAUCCCUCCGUUGAUUUUCAGAAUAUAGUUGGCUUCUUAGGAGUGAGGCUUUUAAAUCUCCUUUAAAAGCAAUGAUCUUCAAUCAAAACCAGAUGUGUCAAUGAUGUGCAUUUCCAUUCUACUUUUCUUUCUUUGUCUCAUACUAACCCUGCCCAAAUCAACAAAAAUAAUCUCUGAGAAUGGUAAUCCUUUUGACUUCUUUGGGGUUAUUCACACCAUUUGUGAGGACCCUUCAUUAUUGCUGUUAAUUUUAUGCUUCAGUCACCUUGCUUAAUUGAAUUUGGAUGCCUUUAUAAAAAUUCAAGCAAAAACAGCUUUUUUCAAAAUCACUUGUUAGUAUCAGUUUUAUUCUGAAUUCAGAUAUCCAUUUUCCAGUGUCCUUGCAGAUGUUUUGUUUUAUUAAUUGCUCUGAUUUGCAACAAACAUCUUUGUCUCCCUCCCACCACUUUGCAGUCUUAGAAAGGUUUUGCUGUUCCAUAGUCACUAGUACUCCCAUUCACAGUCCAGUCUCACUACCAAAUGUGACUAGAGUUUCUCUUUCUUCCGCAAAGUUGGUUAUGUUUUAAGUAUUGCUGAAAUUUCACCUAGAUCUGUUUUAGAAUCUUCCCACAUAUUGAUAUGACCAUGGUCCAUGACCCAGUUAUCUCAGACCUUGGUAACUGUGGGUGUUGUGUUUUGUUCUGUUUUUUUUAAGUUUUUUCUUGGCCUCUCAUGUUCCCUUGACUCCCUUCUAUUAUCUUUAACCUAAAGUCUGCAUUUCUUGAAAACUGCUUUAAAUACGUUCCUGAAAUCCUUGUCCUGGUUUUUGAUCUCUGUCUGCAUCACAUAUCUUUACCUUUCAAGACUUAACACAAUACUUAUCUCUCAAAUGUAUCUUUUUCCCUAUCUCCCUCGCUCAUGCCAAGCAUUCUGCCUGCACACUGUGCUGUGGCAUUUUUCCUGAUUCUCCAAGAGCUUGACUCAUAACUUCGCUCACAACACCUCAAGUUCCUAGGUAUUAGUCAACUCAUAAUCUCACAAUUGCAUUUCAAUAUUUUCCCCAUGGUCUUCCAACACUGAUUUUUUUUUAAAAUUUGUUUAGCAGUUGCUUUUAAAGACAAGGCCAUUUGAGUGUAGAUGUUUAAGUUUUCAAAGCAUGUCUUCCCCUCAUCCUUUGUUUUUCACCAAAAAUUCACUUUUGAAAGGCAUCGAGAGAUAGAUCAACACUUAGAAAUGCAACUUUAUUCCUGUGAAGGUGAAGAGCGCAGAUCAGAGAAACUUGGCUUGACUUGUCUUCUGCCCUGAGAUCUGAAUCAGCUUAUUGGUUUAGCCAAAUAACUGUACUGUCUCUUUGUACUGGUUACAGUUGAAUUCUUUGUUUCAGAAAAUACCGUCAGUAUUAUUGCUCACUAACAGUGUUUCUUUUGCUUGUUGGCAGUUUGGAAAACAAAUACUUGAGAUGUGGGUAUAUGCUAGAUAUAGACACACUCAUUUGUUGUAGUAACCUUCACUAUCUGCCACAGUCUCCUGUGACAGAUCUUGAGUAAUUAUUCUAAACGAAGACAUGCAAUGUCACGACAAUAUUUUGAGUUGAAACUUUUAUUUAUAUAUGGGGAAAGUGUACACUAUGAUGCCAUACUCUUCCUUUCCAAUUUUUCACCUAACUUUUUUAUUACACGUUGUCAUAUUUACAUUAUGAGUCCUCUAAGUGAAAUCCUUCUUAUCUCUGCAUUGGGGAAAACUUCCAAUAGCUCAGACUACUUUUAAAUUAAAUUCCAUAAAUAAAUAUGUGAAAGAAGUAGGUGGUUAUUGCUGCAGCAGUCCCACUAAUUGAACAAAUCCAAACA
Meleagris gallopavo (turkey) is the source of this 8621-nucleotide non-coding RNA. The record is from RefSeq and is a predicted model, not a curated record. Lineage: Eukaryota; Metazoa; Chordata; Aves; Galliformes; Phasianidae.